AAAUCAGCUGUGAUUGGAAAAAAGUAAUGAACCGCUCCCUGUAUCAGAGACCUAGUGGUGCUGCGAACUAGGACAUAGCGCUUCAUGAAUUACGCUUCCAGGAGCUUCUUGAGAAAUCAAGCGGACUGCCCCGUUAUCGGCAAUCUAAGUGGCAUGAUUUUCAUGCAAUUAGGGUGGUACCACGGAAUAUUCCGUCCCUUCG
This 202-nucleotide non-coding RNA is filed under the name Exiguobacterium artemiae. RNAcentral's name for it is "Exiguobacterium sibiricum T-box sequence". It matches the Rfam family "T-box leader". From Rfam's summary of the family: Uncharged tRNA acts as the effector for transcription antitermination of genes in the T-box leader family. T-boxes are found upstream of many aminoacyl-tRNA synthetase genes and some amino acid biosynthetic genes usually in Gram-positive bacteria. The anticodon of a specific tRNA base pairs to a specifier sequence within the T-box motif, and the NCCA acceptor tail of the tRNA base pairs to a conserved bulge in the T-box antiterminator hairpin. Lineage: Bacteria; Bacillati; Bacillota; Bacilli; Caryophanales. The record is from RNAcentral.